RNAcentral lists this ribosomal RNA (492 nucleotides) under uncultured bacterium. Its description in RNAcentral is "partial 16S ribosomal RNA". It matches the Rfam family "Bacterial small subunit ribosomal RNA", at positions 29 to 507 of the family's 1533-position model. The record is from RNAcentral.
AGUGAACGCUGGCGGUAGGCCUAACACAUGCAAGUCGAACGGCAGCACAGUAAGAGCUUGCUCUUACGGGUGGCGAGUGGCGGACGGGUGAGGAAUACAUCGGAAUCUACUUUUUCGUGGGUGAUAACGUAGGGAAACUUACGCUACUACCGCAUACGACCUACGGGUGAAAGCAGGGGAUCUUCGGACCUUGCGCGAUUGAAUGAGCCGAUGUCGGAUUAGCUAGUUGGCGGGGUAAAGGCCCACCAAGGCGACGAUCCGUAGCUGGUCUGAGAGGAUGACCAGCCACACUGGAACUGAGACACGGUCCAGACUCCUACGGGAGGCAGCAGUGGGGAAUAUUGGACAAUGGGCGCAAGCCUGAUCCAGCCAUACCGCGUGGGUGAAGAAGGCCUGCGGGUUGUAAAGCCCUUUUGUUGAGAAAGAAAAUCAGCAGGUUAAUACCCCGAUGUUCUGACGGUACCCAAAGAAUAAGCACCGGCUAACUUCGUG